GGCACACCCCGAGGAGGAGAGCAAAGCUGGCUUCAUAUCUCACACGCCAAACACGCAGACUCAGCUUGUGGUCUGAUUAUUAUUUGCUGCCCAAAGCGGAAGAAACGGGAGUUCCCAGAUUUUGACUCUUGGGCUUUCAGACACAGAGACCAGCAGGACUCCAGUCACUGACCUGACUCCUCCUCAGGCACCUCUACCCCACUCUCCAGGAUUUCGAUUUAUUCAACUCUACUCACUGCUACACAGCAAGCCCAAGAAUAACAACCUUCAGACUUUGCACAGGGCCAAGCUUAGGCCCCACACCAUCCAUGGCAUCAACAUGAGUAUUGAUCCCGGUCCUAGGAGGAGAUGCAACCUUAAUUUCAGCCCUAAUCUCUGACAGCCUCAGAGUGGGUCCAAGGAUGUCGAUGAACUAUGAAGACUUCCAGUCCUUGGAGAGUGAGAAGAAAAGCCAGGGGAUAAGAAAGGGUAAGAGGAAAGGA
This is a long non-coding RNA of Myotis davidii, 482 nucleotides long. RefSeq lists it as uncharacterized. The transcript is spliced from 3 exons. NCBI's taxonomy places the organism in Eukaryota, Metazoa, Chordata, Mammalia, Chiroptera, Vespertilionidae. The record is from RefSeq and is a predicted model, not a curated record.